GUCGAGCGGUAGCACAGAGAGCUUGCUCUCGGGUGACGAGCGGCGGACGGGUGAGUAAUGUCUGGGAAACUGCCUGAUGGAGGGGGAUAACUACUGGAAACGGUAGCUAAUACCGCAUAACGUCGCAAGACCAAAGAGGGGGACCUUCGGGCCUCUUGCCAUCAGAUGUGCCCAGAUGGGAUUAGCUAGUAGGUGGGGUAAUGGCUCACCUAGGCGACGAUCCCUAGCUGGUCUGAGAGGAUGACCAGCCACACUGGAACUGAGACACGGUCCAGACUCCUACGGGAGGCAGCAGUGGGGAAUAUUGCACAAUGGGCGCAAGCCUGAUGCAGCCAUGCCGCGUGUAUGAAGAAGGCCUUCGGGUUGUAAAGUACUUUCAGCGAGGAGGAAGGCAUUGUGGUUAAUAACCACAGUGAUUGACGUUACUCGCAGAAGAAGCACCGGCUAACUCCGUGCCAGCAGCCGCGGUAAUACGGAGGGUGCAAGCGUUAAUCGGAAUUACUGGGCGUAAAGCGCACGCAGGCGGUCUGUCAAGUCGGAUGUGAAAUCCCCGGGCUCAACCUGGGAACUGCAUUCGAAACUGGCAGGCUAGAGUCUUGUAGAGGGGGGUAGAAUUCCAGGUGUAGCGGUGAAAUGCGUAGAGAUCUGGAGGAAUACCGGUGGCGAAGGCGGCCCCCUG
Molecule: ribosomal RNA, 679 nt
Filed under: uncultured Gammaproteobacteria bacterium
Lineage: Bacteria; Pseudomonadati; Pseudomonadota; Gammaproteobacteria
Description: bacterial SSU rRNA
Rfam family: Bacterial small subunit ribosomal RNA
Source: RNAcentral